This 107-nucleotide non-coding RNA is filed under the name Lasius niger. Lineage: Eukaryota; Metazoa; Arthropoda; Insecta; Hymenoptera; Formicidae. The record is from RNAcentral.
GUGUUGUAUGAAAGGAGAGAUGUUUAGCACUCCCCUAGACAAGGAUGGACAACAUAUGUACUGGUAAGGCACUGUCGUUCUUUAGCGACUCUUACCACAACAUUUUU